This 482-nucleotide ribosomal RNA is filed under the name uncultured bacterium. RNAcentral's name for it is "partial 16S ribosomal RNA". It matches the Rfam family "Bacterial small subunit ribosomal RNA", at positions 28 to 523 of the family's 1533-position model. The record is from RNAcentral.
AGUGAACGUUGGCGGCGUGGAUUAGGCAUGCAAGUCGAGCGAGAACCGUAGCAAUACGGGGACAGCGGCGAAAGGGACAGUAAUGUGUAGGUACCUACCUCCGGGUUCGGGAUAGCUGCGGGAAACUGCAGGUAAUACCGAAUAACGUCUCCGGACCAAAGGUGUGAUUCCACCUGGAGAGGGGCCUGCGUCCUAUUAGCUAGUUGGGGAGGUAACGGCUCACCAAGGCGACGAUGGGUAGCGGGUGUGAGAGCACGACCCGCGUCAUUGGGACUGAGACACUGCCCAGACACCUACGGGUGGCUGCAGUCGAGGAUCUUCGGCAAUGGGCGCAAGCCUGACCGAGCGACGCCGCGUGCGGGAUGAAGGCCUUCGGGUUGUAAACCGCUGUCGUAGAGGAGGAAAUGCAGGGGGGUUCUCCCCUCUGCUUGACCUAUUCUAGGAGGAAGGACGGGCUAAGUUCGUGCCAGCCGCCGCGGUAA